CUUUAAAUAAUUAGGAAUCUUAGAAGGAAAGGACAGAACUCUGCUUAUCGGUGCUCGUGCCUUGGAGGGAAAACCGGGAUGGACAUUUUUUCCUUCAAUUUGGCGUCAGAAGUGGGAUCCGCUGACAGAAGGUAAAUAUGCGUCUUUCAUAUUUAUAUAAAGACCGUAUUAUACCUCUCUCAGUGAUCGAUCCAUAAAAAAACGGGAUAUGCUGACGAAGUUUCACUUAGUGAUCCAGAGAGAUACACUGACGACUUCCUCAGUCCCCGAAUAAAGUAAAUUAACCCUUGUGUGGUGUUGGUGGACACAGGAAGUUGCCUGUUGUCUUGAAUAUUUUAAUUUUGUUAAAAAAAAUAAAUAAUAAUAAUAAUUAAUUGUUUAAUUAAACGUACGUUAAAAAGUGAGAAGUUGCUCACUCAGAAAAAGUGACACAGGAAGUUGCCUGUUAGAAAGCUAGUAAAUAAUUAAAUUUAAUUUUGUUAAAAAAAAAAAAAAAAAAAAAAACGAAAGAAAACUGAAAACGGGUCUCACAGACCCGAUUACCAUACAAGGGUUAAAAGCAGUAAAUUAAAAGCAGAAAGACACAGGAAGUUGCCUGUUGUUUUACGAGAAGUUGCUCGCUAAGCGAGAAGUUGCUCGCUAAGUGAGAGUUGCUCACACAAACAAAAAAUUGCUAGCAAUAAAUUUAGAGUGACCUCAGCUGUGCCGCAGCGAAAAUACUAACAUAAAUCCUCCUAGCGUGUAAACCCCUCUGGAAAUCACUGAACAUGGGUCAGAAUUAUUCAAAGACCACAGACAGGUCCGAUAAAAAAAUCUAAAGUACCUGUAAAACCAAAAAAUUAAUAAAAUACAAAAUAAAGUCUCAAAUAACGGCUCAGUACGACUCCCAUUUCCGGUUACGUGUAACCCACGUCCACGAAUCGGCGAAGACUUCCAUGAUCACGUAUCCAGAACAUGCGGAAGUGCUUAUGUGACUGACUUUGUUUACAACUUACGGACUGUAAUUCAAUGCAUUCUAAUUUCUUUUUGGAGCCUUAUCCCGAACGAUUAUCGCCAGAAAACAGGUCAGUAGAAAUGUUGAAUACCAUUUGUGAUAAGAAAAGUAGUCUGCUUAAAAAGUCCUGUAGAAAAUACAUGAUAGAAUGCCGCGAUGUGAUACAUCAAAUGUUACCACUAUGGAAAAAGGGACCGGAACCAGGUGUAGAUGCUUUAACAUCAAAUAAAACUAGUGCAGGCUCCAGCAUAGAAAAUAAAUCUACUGCGGGAAAAGCUAGUCUUGCAUGCUCAGCCAUUCAGCCCACAGCCCCGCCGCCUUACGAAGAUGAGACCGAAUUAAUAGUUGCUGCCGCAGCCGCAUGCAAACAACGUCAGCGCUUUGAUCCAACCAGCUUAAAAGACAGUGACAAAAAAACCUGAAUCACAUGCAACGGAUCUUAGCCAUCUCUUUAAACAGGAUCAGGAAAAACAAUAUAUACGCCGCAAGGAAGAAUUAGCAGAACAUAAAAAAAGAGAAAAACUUUUGAAAGAAGAAUGUGAGGAACUUAUGAAAAACAAUUUAGACGACUAUGAAGAAAAACUUUUGCAUCAGGCAGUGUCCACGAUAGACACCCACAUGAAACGCCACGAUAUCGUAGCUAGAGGUUUAGAGGUAGCUAAAGAAAUACCUGUUACCCGAACUUUAAUAAAGACUUAUCUAAAAGGAAAAAAAGGAAAAACAAAGCCGGAAUGACAAAGGUCCUUACGCCAACACUCGCGGUAGUAAACAAACAGACCCAAAAUCUAGUGACGUCAAUGACACUUACCCCUUUAUGAUAAUAGGAGAUCAGUGUUGUAAGCAGCCCCCUAAAAUCUCAGAAUUAGUGACAACUAUUAAAGAGCUUCCCGAUCCUCUUAAAAAUCCUACAGCCUUUGUCUCUGCACUACAGAGAAGUACCAGAUAUCACCAUUUGGGUGGUCCGGAUUACAGGUACAUAUUGUGUCAAUGCAUUCCUGGAGUAACCGAGUCACAACUCAUAAGAGAGAUAGGUGAAUUAGACCCAAAGCAUGAUAAAGCAUCCACAACUGCAGAGUUUUUGUGGGUAAAUAAUGACAAAAUCACCGAUUUCUUUAAGAAUCUAAAGGAAUUCCUGCUAACAAUGUCCAGAGACAAAAUUGACUUAAAUGCAGUAACUAUGUGUAAACAGAAGCCUGAUGAAUCUAUCCUAGUAUUCAUAAAACGCUUUAUGCACUGUUGGACAAGCUAGAGGUGAUAAAUUUAGCUCAGUUUUCCAGCAGCCGCAGACACCCAGAGCAAAAAUGAAUUUGUGUAUUUCAUUUAACAUAAAGGGUGAAAUGUUUGCUGACACUGAUAACAGCUUAUGUUUUCUCUGCCCUAUGUACCGACAUGAUGGAGAAGGAACAUCCUCUGUGUCAGCUGGACCCUCAGCAGAGAAUGAACUCAACAUCCUUUUUGUCCGGUACUCUAUGUCACACACUAUGCCAAAAAAAAAAAAAACGUGUACAGACGCCACUAACAGGUAAUCCCAUGACUGGGAGCCACACUUUUGUUUCUCUAAGGUCAAACAGUGAUUUUGUCACAUAACUCAGACAUAGUUUAUGAUAUAACUACACCAUGUCAUCACAUACAUCUAACCUACCCUAUCCACUGUACUAUUUCUGCAGUUACAUUGCCAGCUGAAUACCAGAAUAUGACAUUAUGGUCUAAAAGUGAGAAUGAUAUAGGAUUUAUUGACUGUACACUUUAUCACGUACACCUAUUAAAACACAACAAGC
Long non-coding RNA from Astatotilapia calliptera (eastern happy), 2772 nucleotides. NCBI's taxonomy places the organism in Eukaryota, Metazoa, Chordata, Actinopteri, Cichliformes, Cichlidae. The record is from Ensembl.